Long non-coding RNA from Chenopodium quinoa (quinoa), 1628 nucleotides. RefSeq lists it as uncharacterized. The record is from RefSeq and is a predicted model, not a curated record. Lineage: Eukaryota; Viridiplantae; Streptophyta; Magnoliopsida; Caryophyllales; Amaranthaceae. The transcript is spliced from 3 exons.
UAAUCAAAUCCCCUAAUUUGAUCAAAAUUCACCUCAAUCAAACCCUAAUUUCCAAUUCCGAUCGUCAUCUUCUCAUUUCUUCAGAAAACGUCUCUCUUCAUUCUGCGGAGCUUGACCCACAUCGUAACCACGUCUCUUUCUCGAAGCUCAAUCAUCCUCUUCAACGCCGCGACGUCGUGUUCUUUGGUUCCUGUAACGGCAUACUCUGUUUCUCAUCAAAAAUCGACAUUUUAUUGUUCAAUCCUCUCAUCAAAUCAUGUCGUAGGUUGCCCUCUAAUUACAUUCCAGAACCUUCUAUGGGUUCGGUCUGGUCCGGGUUCGGGUAUGACAGCAAAAACGACGAUUACAAGGUUUUGAGGAUGAUUCAAAAGUAUAUAAAUGACAAAGUUUACUACAAUGAAGCCAAAGUAUACAGUCUCAACAAAUAAUUCAUGGAAAAGUAUUCAAGGUAUUCCAUAUUAUAUCUUUUGUGAAGAUUAUCAUGGUGUUCUUGUUAAUGAGGCUUUACAUUAUACUGUGAUUACUAAUGAAUCGGAUUUGGUAUGUAAUUUCAUUGCGAGUUUUGAUCUUAACACUGAGAAAUUCUCACUUAUUGAAUGCCCCAAUUAUAAUGAAAAUUCUAGGAGUGAUUUGGUGCCACUUUUGUUGGAAAUGGGUGGGUGUUUAUGUUUGGUGGCUAAUCAUCACACAAGUGCUCUUUAUCACCCUCCUCCUAAUAACUGUGUGCUGACUAAUCCUCUAGUCGAAAGUGUCGAUAUUUGGAUGAUGAAGGAAUAAGGAAUGAAAGAGUCUUGGGUUAUGUUGUUUAGAAUUUGCCAGCUGCAGAGUUUAGGGAUUUAUUAUGUACAGAUUAAGCCGGUUUUUUACUCGAAAGACGGGAGGAAAAUUUUGAUAGAGAUAGACUGUAAGGGACUUGGUUGGUAUGAUUUGAAGUCCAAAAGUGUUGAGCGACUCAGAGCUCAUGGUAUUCCGAAUGGAUUUAUGGAGAUGACGUAUUUCGUGGGCAGCCUUGUUUCCCUUGAAGAGAAGCAGCAUCAAGAGAAGAAAGCCUUGCCAAAGAAGAACAAAAAGAAGAAUGAUUUGGAUGAUUAUCUUUCUGCAGGGUUCAAGCUGAGGUUGUGACCUAGAAGAUGCUACUGCUUGGGCUUUAUUUGGAACUGUGUUAUUGUUGGGAUUUUGCUCGUCAAAGGUUGAACUAUUGGUUGUUUUUUUUUUGCCAUGAUCAUGGCCUUUGGAGGAGAAGUGACUAGUUGAUUUCGCAUGAAGGCCAUUGCAAGUAGUUUUAAGUGUGGCUUUUUUGUAGUAUAUAUAUAAAUACCUUGUUAAAGUGGUGGAUGUUUUUUGGAGCUACUGGUUUUUGAUCCUAAUCUAAGAUGAUAGUGCAAAUGUGCAAUGCAAACUGCAGGUGUCCCAGUAUAGAUUACCGUAGCUUUAUGCUGUAAUCUGAUUUACUAGUUCUCUUGAGCUUCUCUGAAGUCUACUGCGAUGUAAGAAUGUUUCUAGUCUAGCAGUGAAGUUUGAGUAUAAUUGAACAAGCUGUUCGUUGCUGAAGUACUUGAUAUUACUGCUCAUUACUUCGUACACAUUUCUAUGAUUUUAAUUUGCAACCUCUAAUUCAGAUGCAUUCA